RNAcentral lists this transfer RNA (71 nucleotides) under Camelus ferus (Wild Bactrian camel). It matches the Rfam family "tRNA". From Rfam's summary of the family: Transfer RNA (tRNA) molecules are approximately 80 nucleotides in length. Their secondary structure includes four short double-helical elements and three loops (D, anti-codon, and T loops). Further hydrogen bonds mediate the characteristic L-shaped molecular structure. tRNAs have two regions of fundamental functional importance: the anti-codon, which is responsible for specific mRNA codon recognition, and the 3' end, to which the tRNAs corresponding amino acid is attached (by aminoacyl-tRNA synthetases). tRNAs cope with the degeneracy of the genetic code in two manners: having more than one tRNA (with a specific anti-codon) for a particular amino acid; and 'wobble' base-pairing, i.e. permitting non-standard base-pairing at the 3rd anti-codon position. The record is from Rfam by way of RNAcentral. Lineage: Eukaryota; Metazoa; Chordata; Mammalia; Artiodactyla; Camelidae.
GAGGGUAUAGCUCAGUGGUAGGGCCCAUGCUUAGCAUGCAUGAGGUCCUGGGUUCAAUCCCAAGCAUCUCG